CGAACGCUGGCGGCGUGCCUAAUACAUGCAAGUCGAACGCUUCUUUCCUCCCGAGUGCUUGCACUCAAUUGGAAAGAGGAGUGGCGGACGGGUGAGUAACACGUGGGUAACCUACCCAUCAGAGGGGGAUAACACUUGGAAACAGGUGCUAAUACCGCAUAACAGUUUAUGCCGCAUGGCAUAAGAGUGAGAGGCGCUUUCGGGUGUCGUUGAUGGAUGGACCCGCGGUGCAUUAGCUAGUUGGUGAGGUAACGGCUCACCAAGGCCACGAUGCAUAGCCGACCUGAGAGGGUGAUCGGCCACACUGGGACUGAGACACGGCCCAGACUCCUACGGGAGGCAGCAGUAGGGAAUCUUCGGCAAUGGACGAAAGUCUGACCGAGCAACGCCGCGUGAGUGAAGAAGGUUUUCGGAUCGUAAAACUCUGUUGUUAGAGAAGAACAAGGACGUUAGUAACUGAACGUCCCCUGACGGUAUCUAACCAGAAAGCCACGGCUAACUACGUG
This 506-nucleotide ribosomal RNA is filed under the name uncultured bacterium. Its description in RNAcentral is "partial 16S ribosomal RNA". It matches the Rfam family "Bacterial small subunit ribosomal RNA", at positions 30 to 507 of the family's 1533-position model. The record is from RNAcentral.